ACGAACUGUGCGAACGUUAUUCGGAAUCACUGGGCUUACAGGGUGCGUAGGCGGCCUUUCAAGUCAGGUGUGAAAUCCCACAGCUCAACUGUGGAAUGGCGCUUGAAACUGGAGGGCUGGAGUCAGCUAGAGGUACACGGAACUUCCGGUGGAGCGGUGAAAUGUGUUGAUAUCGGAAGGAACACCAGAGGCGAAAGCGGUGCACUGGGGCUGUUCUGACGCUGAGGCACGAAAGCCAGGGGAGCGAACGGGAUUAGAAACCCCAGUAGUCC
This 272-nucleotide ribosomal RNA is filed under the name uncultured bacterium. RNAcentral's name for it is "partial 16S ribosomal RNA". It matches the Rfam family "Bacterial small subunit ribosomal RNA", at positions 525 to 796 of the family's 1533-position model. The record is from RNAcentral.